GCAGCUUCCAGAAGUAUUUCCCUAGAAGACUGAAUGCAGAAAAGGCAAGCGUGCGUCAGUUCCCUUCAAGGUUGACCACAAGAGUACCCUCAGCAGACAAAUGGCCUCAAGGUCUUCAGCCUCACCACCAGGAACAGGAGGCAGAGUCCCACCACGACGCCGCAAACCGCUCCAGCAAUCAUGCCAAUGUUUUGGGCAUCUGUUGUCCAAAAAAUAAACAGAUUAACAGGCUAUAUGGAAUAUUGCUGAGCAAGUGAGAAGUGUUCCAUGUGACUGGAGUACAAAAGGGCAAGGGUGUGGAUAAGGGUUCAUCCAGUGAAGUGGGUCAGCUGAGGACCUACACUGCUCAUACAGAGGUGAGAAUACCAAUUAGGUGCAAUACUCACGCUGCACUGUCACCUGAACAACACAGGUCUCCUGUCCAGCCUCGUUGGUGGCCAUGCAUUGGUACAACCCUGUACUCAUCUGAGUGAGGUUCUUCAGUAAGACUUGACCUGGAUUAGAAAUGUCUGAAACAGGAAAAACAACACUCAGAUUAAUCAAAAAAAGACUAAGAACGGAGGAUGGAACAAAAAAAACAAGCGCUGAACUUGCAGAUCAAAAUCAGUUCGAGAUCAGCGAUAACUCAGGAAAGAUCAUCUGUCAACCUUUUGCAAAGCAUGAGAACUUGUGCACUUCCUUGCUCAGGGUGGAGCACAAUACAGCAUCCUGCUGUAGCCAAGUUCUGGUAAAGCACUGCUCUCACUGCCAGCACGCUCUCCCUGGUUACAAGAUGGACACACUGUGCCUGUGGGUGGUUAUCUGGCUUUCAACACUUGGAGAGCUCUAAGAGGAAGUGACUUACUGACUCUCGACGUAGGUGGGAGAUGUUCAGCUUUCUCAUCUUCCUCAUUUAUGCGCUGCCACCGGUAGGAGAUGGGCGCAGUGCCUGAGGAAGAACGGCACUGCAGGGACAGGUCUUUCCCUUCUGACAGCUCUCCUUCCAGCCAGCACUUGGGCUUGGAGGGUUUCUCUGUAGAAAACAGAGCACAGGUCAUGCACACGCAACAGAUCAUUUUCUUGGUGGAAAACCCUUUUAUAAAAUUAUUAUUUACACUAGUGAUGUUUGUUAGUGGACUUGAACUGCAACCUUGUGCAGCUUUGUAGUGUAAGAAGUAGAAAGAACACAUUCUGUUUUGAGUCAGUCUGCUUCAUGGCUACUUGUGCCAAUGGAGCUGUAUCAAAGCAUUCUUCUAGGCACGAUUUAGAGAAUAACCUUUCCCUGAAAUCCUUUCCCUCCCCCUGCUUCUCCAUUUCUUCCUUCUCCCCACAGGAUCUGGCAGGUCACAGCAGGACUUCCAUGGGGUGAUAGUGUAGGUGCUAAAUGCCAAGCCAUAAACUGGAAUCAGGGAAGAGAAAUGCUAACCCCAGUGGCUUAUCCAUCACCUUCACUGACUUGGAUCAGUUUGGGCUCCAGGGACACAAACUCAGAGUCCCCAGCGAGAGUUCUGGACAGAGUGAUGGUUGCUAGGAUAUCACUUUAGUUUACAUGAUGAGAUCAUAGGACAAUUUAGAAAGGAGAUGUUGCAAGUGGGUAAGCUUAUCACGAAAUAGUUCUCUGGACUCUUCCUGUGUUCUGUCCUUUGCCAAAAAAUGCAAAGGCAGAUACAGACUUAUUGAAACCUGAUCAAGAGAUGUCUGUGUGUGUUUAUACCCUAAUG
Molecule: long non-coding RNA, 1700 nt
Organism: Centrocercus urophasianus (Greater sage-grouse)
Lineage: Eukaryota; Metazoa; Chordata; Aves; Galliformes; Phasianidae
Exons: 3
Source: RefSeq, a predicted model, not a curated record